GACGAACGCUGGCGGCGUGCUUAACACAUGCAAGUCGAACGGAAAGGCCCUGCUUUUGUGGGGUGCUCGAGUGGCGAACGGGUGAGUAACACGUGAGUAACCUGCCCUUGACUUUGGGAUAACUUCAGGAAACUGGGGCUAAUACCGGAUAGGAGCUCCUGCUGCAUGGUGGGGGUUGGAAAGUUUCGGCGGUUGGGGAUGGACUCGCGGCUUAUCAGCUUGUUGGUGGGGUAGUGGCUUACCAAGGCUUUGACGGGUAGCCGGCCUGAGAGGGUGACCGGGCACAUGGGGACUGAGAUACGGCCCAGAGUCGUACGGGAGGCAGCAGUGGGGAAUAUUGCACAAUGGGCGGAAGCGUGAUGCAGCAGCGCCGCGUGCGGGAUGACGGCCUUCGGGUUGUAAACCGCUUUCGCCUGUGACGAAGCGUGAGUGACGGUAAUGGGUAAAGAAGCACCGGCUAACUACGUG
Molecule: ribosomal RNA, 468 nt
Filed under: uncultured bacterium
Lineage: Bacteria
Description: partial 16S ribosomal RNA
Rfam family: Bacterial small subunit ribosomal RNA
Source: RNAcentral